Molecule: transfer RNA, 91 nt
Filed under: Gammaproteobacteria bacterium
Lineage: Bacteria; Pseudomonadati; Pseudomonadota; Gammaproteobacteria
Description: tRNA-Ser
Rfam family: tRNA
About the family: Transfer RNA (tRNA) molecules are approximately 80 nucleotides in length. Their secondary structure includes four short double-helical elements and three loops (D, anti-codon, and T loops).
Source: RNAcentral
GGAGAGGUGGCCGAGUGGCUGAAGGCGCUCCCCUGCUAAGGGAGUAUGGGUUAACAGCCCAUCGAGGGUUCGAAUCCCUCCCUCUCCGCCA